AUUGCCCUAGUAACGGCGAGUGAAGCGGCAACAGCUCAAAUUUGAAAUCUGGCUUCGGCCCGAGUUGUAAUUUGCAGAGGAAGCUUUAGGCGCGGCACCUUCUGAGUCCCCUGGAACGGGGCGCCAUAGAGGGUGAGAGCCCCGUAUAGUUGGAUGCCUAGCCUGUGUAAAGCUCCUUCGACGAGUCGAGUAGUUUGGGAAUGCUGCUCAAAAUGGGAGGUAAAUUUCUUCUAAAGCUAAAUACCGGCCAGAGACCGAUAGCGCACAAGUAGAGUGAUCGAAAGAUGAAAAGCACUUUGAAAAGAGGGUUAAAUAGCACGUGAAAUUGUUGAAAGGGAAGCGCUUGUGACCAGACUUGCGCCGGGCGGAUCAUCCGGUGUUCUCACCGGUGCACUCCGCCCGGCUCAGGCCAGCAUCGGUUCUCGCGGGGGGAUAAAGGUCCUGGGAACGUAGCUCCUCCGGGAGUGUUAUAGCCCGGGGCGUAAUGCCCUCGCGGGGACCGAGGUUCGCGCAUCUGCAAGGAUGCUGGCGUAAUGGUCAUCAGCGACCCGUCUUGAAACACGGACC
Molecule: ribosomal RNA, 567 nt
Filed under: Chaetomium globosum
Lineage: Eukaryota; Fungi; Ascomycota; Sordariomycetes; Sordariales; Chaetomiaceae
Description: eukaryotic LSU rRNA
Rfam family: Eukaryotic large subunit ribosomal RNA
Source: RNAcentral